GAUCCUGGCUCAGAAUCAACGCUGGCGGCGUGCCUAACACAUGCAAGUCGCACGAGAAAGGGGAGCAAUCCCUGAGUAAAGUGGCGCACGGGUGAGUAACACGUGAAUUAUCUACCUCCGAGUGGGGAAUAACCUAGAGAAAUCUGGGCUAAUACCGCAUAACACUUACGAGUCAAAGCAGCAAUGCGCUUGGAGAGGAGUUCGCGGCCGAUUAGCUAGUUGGCGGGGUAAUGGCCCACCAAGGCGAUGAUCGGUAUCCGGCCUGAGAGGGCGCACGGACACACUGGAACUGAAACACGGUCCAGACUCCUACGGGAGGCAGCAGUGGGGAAUUUUGCGCAAUGGGGGAAACCCUGACGCAGCAACGCCGCGUGGAGGAUGAAAUAUCUUGGUAUGUAAACUCCUUUCGAUGGGGAAGAUUAUGACGGUACCCAUAGAAGAAGCCCCGGCUAACUUCGUGCCGGCAGCCGCGGUAAUACGAGGGGGGCAAGCGUUGUUCGGAUUUAUUGGGCGUAAAGGGUGCGUAGGCGGUUUGAUAAGUCUGGUGUGAAAUCUUUGGGCUCAACCCAAAGUCUGCACUAGAAACUGUCGGGCUUGAGUAUGGGAGAGGUGAGUGGAAUUUCCGGUGUAGCGGUGAAAUGCGUAGAUAUCGGAAGGAACACCUGUGGCGAAAGCGGCUCACUGGACCAU
RNAcentral lists this ribosomal RNA (690 nucleotides) under uncultured Acidobacteriota bacterium. Its description in RNAcentral is "bacterial SSU rRNA". It matches the Rfam family "Bacterial small subunit ribosomal RNA", at positions 15 to 737 of the family's 1533-position model. The record is from RNAcentral. Lineage: Bacteria; Pseudomonadati; Acidobacteriota.